Molecule: ribosomal RNA, 119 nt
Organism: Petromyzon marinus (sea lamprey)
Lineage: Eukaryota; Metazoa; Chordata; Hyperoartia; Petromyzontiformes; Petromyzontidae
Source: Ensembl
GCCUAUGACCAUAUCACCCUGAAUGCGCCCGAUCUCGUCUGAUCUCGGAAGCUAAACAUGGUCGAGCCUGAUUAGUACUUGGAUGGGAGACUGCCUGGGAAUACCAGGUGUUGUAGGCU